RNAcentral lists this long non-coding RNA (913 nucleotides) under Cricetulus griseus (Chinese hamster). RNAcentral's name for it is "lncRNA (ENSCGRG00015034693.1)". Lineage: Eukaryota; Metazoa; Chordata; Mammalia; Rodentia; Cricetidae. The record is from RNAcentral.
CUAUUCUGGGACAAUCUGCUUAGUCACAGUCCAUUUCUGAAUGACUCAAGCGUUAGGCAAAGAUGAAAGCUUCAGGAUGUGCAGGUCAAAGGGCAACUUUCAGGAGUCUAUUUUCAACCUGCCAGUGGCCACAGCCUUAAAGGAAACUGACCCUUCUUCCCUCCAAGCAGCAAUCACUUGCCAAGAGCUCCUAAGCAAGGGAUGAGAAUUCAACACCACCUCUCCACACCAUGCUGAGAUUUUGUCUGGCUUCACCUCUCACAGGACUUGUGCAUGCUGUCACAAUCGCUUUCAUCUCCUAAACACCGGGUCUGACUGAUUCUCCACUGGGGGAGGAAGAGUUUAGGAGAGGAAGAGGCCCUUCCUGUUUGUCUCAGACAGAAUGUGGCAGUGGUAGGUGUUGGAAUAUACCACUCACGCUUAGACUGACUGUAAGCACAAACACAUGCUCCUUUGUCCUUCUGCCGUGGCAAGCUGACUUCACUGGGAAAGGCUGUUCCUCACACACAUCUCAGGCAACAUGAAUCAACAUCUGAGCAGGUCAGCAGAGGCCUACCUUGCACCUUGAGAGUUCAGAACCUGCUUCCUCCAACCCUUGACUUCUCAGAAGCUCUGCUGAUGGGGAGGAAAGAGAUGUGACACUGAGGAUCCCACAUGAAGUAGCAAGCAGUCAGCUACUUUACACGUCACCUGCCUACAGGAUUUGUCAGGUGUGCAUCAAAUGUCAGUCUCUAGGAUCUUCUGUGUCCAGUGGACACAGUCCAAGCCAUCACAUUUGGCUUGAGUGGAAAAGACCGGACCCUCUUCUCUGACCUAUGUGAGGAAGACAGGAUGCAUAGCCCAUGCACAUCUCUUUAAAGAAGAGCCUUGCCCUUGAUGCUGCAAGAUCCUCCAUGAUGAUCUCACAAAGCAG